Molecule: long non-coding RNA, 1126 nt
Filed under: Pogona vitticeps (central bearded dragon)
Lineage: Eukaryota; Metazoa; Chordata; Lepidosauria; Squamata; Agamidae
Description: lncRNA (ENSPVIG00000002232.1)
Source: RNAcentral
AAAUUAACUAUAACAUGCUAACUACAUACUUGAGACAAAGAUUUUGCUUAAAUAUUUUCAUUUUUUAAAAAAGAAUCAGAAGUGAUAAUUUAAAGAAGCAGUUGUACUAAUGUUUAAAACAAGUAUCAGAAAACUAUUCAGCCUUUUUUUCUUAAAGGUAUGCCAAACAAUUAAUAUUCUUUCUGCAAUGAAUGUAUGUAAAUCACUUAACUUUAAAAAUUGAUAUCAAUUUCUACAAGGUAGUUUUCCUUAGUUCUUAAUAUUAUAGGAUGUUACUACUACUGACUAAAAGCAACCAUGAUUUUAUCACAUGCAAAACAAGAUACAAACUUUUCUGUAUCAAACUGUUUCAUACAAUGGCUUCAUUAUGCACUGAUGUUUAUGUCACAGCCAGGAUAUAUCUGUAUCACUACUACAUCAUGGAGGGAUUUACAGAGCCAUAAUAUGUAGAUCUCCAUAAUACUGUACUGCGUAAGGAGAUAGUCACUGCAGCCACAACCUUGACUUGAAGCAAUGGAACAUAUUGUAUAUUUCUGUUCUCUAGCAUGGAAGGCUUGUUGUGCAUAACUUUGAUUUAUGGAGCUUUCAAGUCUCUAGAAAGUUUUCUGCUUAGUAUCAAUUAAUUCAAAUUGGCAUACAUGUCCAACAACUAGAUGAUCAGUAUGGAAAUCUCUGAUAUUAUUAUUCAUGUACUAGAGAAGGGGGACCUGAAUUAAUCUUCACCUCCUCUUAUACAAGCAAUCUACUGACAUUUUUGGAGGAAGGUUUAAGUUCUAAAUUCUCAAAACAAACAAUCAGAUAUUGUGUUAGUAAAUAGUACAUAGAUCCUGGGGAGCAAACAUAAAAGAAAACUGUUUCAAUAUUCGUUUUAUGGGCCUCAUAUGCAUUCUAACUGGCCAAUCAAUGAAAUACGAUGCUGUGUCACAUCGCCUUAAAGAACAGUUGAAAUUUUUUUUUAGUAUUAAACACAACUACUACCAGAAGGAGCAUGCACACACAACUGAAACAUAUGAAUUGGCAUUACUAGAUUGAGAUACACAUUUUUGAGACCUGUAGAGGUCCUUCUUGGUAUGUCCAUAUGGAAAUCAAGUACUGUACUGUAUCAAUAAACUGAAUUCCCAUACCA